RNAcentral lists this ribosomal RNA (1951 nucleotides) under Acinetobacter baumannii. RNAcentral describes it as "bacterial LSU rRNA". It matches the Rfam family "Bacterial large subunit ribosomal RNA", at positions 3 to 2003 of the family's 2925-position model. Lineage: Bacteria; Pseudomonadati; Pseudomonadota; Gammaproteobacteria; Moraxellales; Moraxellaceae. The record is from RNAcentral.
UCAAGUAAUUAAGUGCAUGUGGUGGAUGCCUUGGCAGUCAGAGGCGAUGAAAGACGUGAUAGCCUGCGAAAAGCUCCGGGGAGGCGGCAAAUAUCCUUUGAUCCGGAGAUGUCUGAAUGGGGGAACCCACCUACUUUAAGGUAGGUAUUGCAACAUGAAUACAUAGUGUUGCAAGGCGAACGAGGGAAGUGAAACAUCUCAGUACCCUUAGGAAAGAAAUCAAUUGAGAUUCCUCAGUAGCGGCGAGCGAACGGGAUCAGCCCAUUAAGUUAUGUGUGUUUUAGUGGAACGCUCUGGGAAGUGCGAACGUAGAGGGUGAUAUUCCCGUACACGAAAGGGCACACAUAAUGAUGACGAGUAGGGCGAGGCACGUGAAACCUUGUCUGAAUAUGGGGGGACCAUCCUCCAAGGCUAAAUAUCCUGACUGACCGAUAGUGAACCAGUACCGUGAGGAAAGGCGAAAAGAACCCCUGUGAGGGGAGUGAAAUAGAUCUGAAACCGCAUGCAUACAAGCAGUGGGAGCACCUUCGUGGUGUGACUGCGUACCUUUUGUAUAAUGGGUCAGCGACUUAUAUUCAGUAGCGAGGUUUAACCGUAUAGGGGAGCCGUAGAGAAAUCGAGUCUUAAUAGGGCGUUUAGUUGCUGGGUAUAGACCCGAAACCAGGCGAUCUAUCCAUGAGCAGGUUGAAGGUUGGGUAACACUAACUGGAGGACCGAACCCACUGUCGUUGAAAAGCCAGGGGAUGACUUGUGGAUAGGGGUGAAGGCUAAUCAAGCCUGGUGAUAGCUGGUUCUCCCGAAAGCUAUUUAGGUAGCGCCUCGGACGAAUACCAUAGGGGGUAGAGCACUGUUUCGGCUAGGGGUCAUCCCGACUUACCAAACCGAUGCAAACUCCGAAUACCUAUGAGUACUAUCCGGGAGACAGACUGCGGGUGCUAACGUCCGUAGUCAAGAGGAAAACAAUCCAGACCGCCAGCUAAGGCCCCAAAAUCAUAGUUAAGUGGGAAACGAUGUGGGAAGGCAUAGACAGCUAGGAGGUUGGCUUAGAAGCAGCCACCCUUUAAAGAAAGCGUAAUAGCUCACUAGUCGAGUCGGCCUGCGCGGAAGAUGUAACGGGGCUAAAACUAUGUGCCGAAGCUGCGGAUGUAUACUUUGUAUACGUGGUAGGGGAGCGUUCUGUAAGCCGAUGAAGGUGUGUUGAGAAGCAUGCUGGAGGUAUCAGAAGUGCGAAUGCUGACGUGAGUAACGACAAAACGGGUGAAAAACCCGUUCGCCGAAAGACCAAGGGUUCCAGUCCAACGUUAAUCGGGGCUGGGUGAGUCGACCCUAAGGCGAGGCCGAAAGGCGUAGUCGAUGGGAAAAUGGUUAAUAUUCCAUUACUUCUGUGUAAUGCGAUGAGAGGACGGAGAAGGCUAAAUCAGCCUGGCGUUGGUUGUCCAGGUGAAAGGAUGUAGGCAUGUAUCUUAGGCAAAAUCCGGGUACUCUAUGCUGAGAUCUGAUAGCAAGCUGUACUUGUACAGCGAAGUGGUUGAUGCCAUGCUUCCAGGAAAAGUCUCUAAGCUUCAGUUACACAGGAAUCGUACCCGAAACCGACACAGGUGGUCAGGUCGAGUAGACCAAGGCGCUUGAGAGAACUCUGCUGAAGGAACUAGGCAAAAUGGUACCGUAACUUCGGGAGAAGGUACGCUGUUGUUGGUGAUGGAACUCGCUUCCUGAGCUGACGACAGCCGCAGAAACCAGGCCGCUGCAACUGUUUAUUAAAACAUAGCACUCUGCAAACACGAAAGUGGACGUAUAGGGUGUGAUGCCUGCCCGGUGCUGGAAGGUUAAUUGAUGGGGUUAGCGUAAGCGAAGCUCUUGAUCGAAGCCCAGUAAACGGCGGCCGUAACUAUAACGGUCCUAAGGUAGCGAAAUUCCUUGUCGGUAAGUUCCGACCUGCACGAAUGGCAUA